GACAGAGGGUGCAAACGUUGUUCGGAUUUACUGGGCGUAAAGCGCGUGUAGGCGGCUUUGCAAGUCGGAUGUGAAAUCCCACGGCUCAACCGUGGAAGUGCAUCCGAAACUGCAUCGCUGGAGUCUCGGAGAGGAAGGUGGAAUGCUUGGUGUAGAGGUGAAAUUCGUAGAUAUCAAGCAGAACACCUGCGGCGAAGGCGGCUCACUGGACUGGUAUUGACGCUGAGGUGCGAAAGCGUGGGGAGCAAACAGG
Molecule: ribosomal RNA, 253 nt
Filed under: uncultured bacterium
Lineage: Bacteria
Description: partial 16S ribosomal RNA
Rfam family: Bacterial small subunit ribosomal RNA
Source: RNAcentral